Molecule: non-coding RNA, 29 nt
Filed under: Mus musculus (house mouse)
Lineage: Eukaryota; Metazoa; Chordata; Mammalia; Rodentia; Muridae
Source: RNAcentral
UACACCAGUUGUCCAGUUCAGUCGUGUCA